This 58-nucleotide microRNA precursor is filed under the name Magallana gigas (Pacific oyster). RNAcentral describes it as "Mgi-Mir-96-P3_pre stem-loop". Lineage: Eukaryota; Metazoa; Mollusca; Bivalvia; Ostreida; Ostreidae. The record is from RNAcentral.
AAUGGCACUGGUAGAAUUCACGGGGUAUCACUGACCGUGGACUAUCAAUUGCCAUACA